CACGUAGUUAGUCCGUGGCUUAUUCGACAGGUACCGUCUUCUGCUCUUCCCUGUCAAAAGAAGUUUACAACCCGAAAGCCUUCUUCCUUCACGCGGCGUUGCUGGGUCAGGCUUGCGCCCAUUGCCCAAUAUUCCCCACUGCUGCCUCCCGUAGGAGUCUGGGCCGUAUCUCAGUCCCAAUGUGGCCGGCCAACCUCUCAGUCCGGCUACUGAUCGUCGCCUUGGUAGGCCGUUACCCUACCAACUAGCUAAUCAGACGCGAGGCCAUCUCUCAGCGAUAAAUCUUUGGUACCAGUACCAUGCGAUACCCGUACGUUAUGCGGUAUUAGCAGUCGUUUCCAACUGUUGUCCCCCUCUGAAAGGCAGGUUCCUCACGCGUUACUCACCCGUCCGCCACUAAGUAGUCCUCUCCAUUGACCGAAAUCUCUUUCGAGGGUACUCCGUUCGACUUGCAUGUGUUAAGCACGCCGCCAGCGUUCGUCCUGAGCCAGGAUCAAACUCU
Molecule: ribosomal RNA, 502 nt
Filed under: uncultured Oscillibacter sp.
Lineage: Bacteria; Bacillati; Bacillota; Clostridia; Eubacteriales; Oscillospiraceae
Description: partial 16S ribosomal RNA
Source: RNAcentral